Molecule: ribosomal RNA, 194 nt
Filed under: uncultured bacterium
Lineage: Bacteria
Description: partial 16S ribosomal RNA
Rfam family: Bacterial small subunit ribosomal RNA
Source: RNAcentral
ACGCUCGACACCUGAGGCAGCAGUGGGGAAUAUUGCACAAUGGAGGAAACUCUGAUGCAGCGAUGCCGCGUGAGGGAAGAAGGUUUUCGGAUUGUAAACCUCUGUCUUUGGGGACGAUAAUGACGGUACCCAAGGAGGAAGCUCCGGCUAACUACGUGCCAGCAGCCGCGGUAAUCUGAGCGGGCUGGCAAGGC